UAUUUAGAUGUCGAUAUGACUCCUCAAGUAACACCUGUUGAAGUGCUUUCAGUUUUUAGAACUGAUAAUUUGAGCGAAUCUAUAAGAAAUAUCGAUACGACUUCAAAUAUACUUGGUAAGAGGGAAAAAUGUAUUUAAUAUAUACAGAAUUUGUUAUUUAGAUAUAUUUUUUCCUACAU
Long non-coding RNA from Daktulosphaira vitifoliae (grape phylloxera), 179 nucleotides. RefSeq lists it as uncharacterized. NCBI's taxonomy places the organism in Eukaryota, Metazoa, Arthropoda, Insecta, Hemiptera, Phylloxeridae. The record is from RefSeq and is a predicted model, not a curated record. The transcript has 4 exons.